This 666-nucleotide unclassified non-coding RNA is filed under the name Hevea brasiliensis (rubber tree). The record is from RNAcentral. Lineage: Eukaryota; Viridiplantae; Streptophyta; Magnoliopsida; Malpighiales; Euphorbiaceae.
UUUUUUUUUUUUUUUUUAAUGCAAAGACUCUCUACUUUCUCUCUGGCUUUCUUAACCUUCGUCUUUUUACAUUGUCCGUUACCGCAAAUCUCAUCCCUAACCUGAUGCUACAGUGACUUCCUUUUCCAACAAAAUCUAAUGAAAAUUACCUUCCUUCAUCCAACCAAAAGAAAGCUUUGAACUUUCACAUAUCGUCAUCUAUAGUAAUAGUCGAUUUCAACAAAGAAACAGAAGAGGAAAGAGGAGGAAUGUAGUGGUGGUUUUGCUUGCCUGCUUGUUUUUGAGGAAUUGUUCAUCCAAAAUGAGCAACAAAUUCAGGUCAAGGAGAUUGGGUUCUUAACAAGUGAAUUUUAGGGUUUAAAUUAUCUAUUGUUGUUGAUUCUUUCAAAAUUGUUGCUUGUUGAAUUUUUAUUCUAUUAGCUCUAAUAUUUUGGAACUCUAUACAAGGGGUUUUUCCUAACUGAUACAAAGUGUUCGUUAUGGUAGAUGCAGAAAUUAGGAAUUUUCUUUUUCCUACAUACUAUUUUCCUUUUCUAGUCAUCAAUUUCAUUGCAAAGGUUUGGGGAAAAACAAGUAGGAUGGUUCCUACUACAUGAAAUUCAAUGGAAGUGUGGAUGAUAAUCUCUUUCUGCUUUUAUACAUGCAUUGUGAAUGGGGAGAGUGGGG